CGACGUCAAAUCAUCAUGCCCCUUAUGACCUGGGCUUCACACGUAAUACAAUGGCCGUUAACAGAGGGAAGCGAAGCCGCGAGGCGGAGCAAACCCAAAACGGUCUCAGUUCGGAUCGCAGGCUGCAACCCGCCUGCGUGAAGUUGGAAUUGCUAGUAAUCGCGGAUCAGCAUGCCGCGGUGAAUACGUUCCCGGGCCUU
This 200-nucleotide ribosomal RNA is filed under the name uncultured prokaryote. Its description in RNAcentral is "partial 16S ribosomal RNA". It matches the Rfam family "Bacterial small subunit ribosomal RNA", at positions 1180 to 1382 of the family's 1533-position model. The record is from RNAcentral.